Long non-coding RNA from Selaginella moellendorffii, 1341 nucleotides. RefSeq lists it as uncharacterized. Lineage: Eukaryota; Viridiplantae; Streptophyta; Lycopodiopsida; Selaginellales; Selaginellaceae. The record is from RefSeq and is a predicted model, not a curated record. The transcript is spliced from 5 exons.
AGAUCGAAGCUUCUCAAACGCCCAUGCCGCCAGGAACUUUGGGCUCCUCCCGCAAGACACACAGUGUGGAGCUCCGGGUACGUGAAGACGCGAACCACGUCCAUAGCACCGGAUGGAAACGAUGGUUUGUAGUGUUUGAGCCAUGGUUGCCACAGGGAAAGCCGCGACGAUGGCUGGCUUUGCCUUUUUCUGCUGCUUGGCUACUUUGUUCUGCGAGCUGCCUGGUGCUGAGAGCUUUGGAAGAUCUCCAGCUUGGUACAACUUGAUCGAAAACAGCAAAGCUUGAUCAGCGACGUUGCGAGUUCUGUUCAAAGCAAAAACUUCAUUCAUCUGGAAACAGGUACUCGUUUUCUCCUGGCUUAGCACUGCUUUGCACGAACCGUUUUUGAUACACAGGGCCAUGCACGCUGCUGGAGACGUUGUGGAGCGCACUGGAUAAAUCUAGAGGUUCUUCCAGGUUCAUUUUCGGGCCUGCAUCUCUCCUUGUCCCCGGAAGAAACGUACUGCAUGGAUGACGAUCUCCUGGUGUCGUUCUUGAGCUCCGGACAGAGGCAUCUGUCAGCUGUCUGGAACGAGAUCCCACAGGUUCGAGUAAGCAAGCUGUUCCCGAAUAACUGCGGGUUUUAAGUCGAUGCUCUUCGUGCUGUUGCUGCUGCUGAAUGAUCUCGAGUAACAUCACCGAUCGUUGGAGUGGACCACAUAACACCUUUCGUCCCGUGGAUUUCCAAGCUGCUAUUGACGAGGAAGAGAAAAGAUAUCUCUUCUUCUUCCUUCCUCGUCGGAGCUCCAGAGCUCUCCAAAAUAUCCCAACAUACUGGAGUUCAAAGCGAUCAAGAACUUCAUCCCUGGUUUUAGAGGCUGGCAGGGAGCAUAGCAUCACCGGGAUGAUCAAAGCUCUGCCACAGCAAAGCUCCAGUUUUGCUCCGGAUUACGAGAUUCCAGAGCUCUCGAGGCCCGUGUUGGUCGACCACACAAAGCUUUCAUCGACGUCGCUCAGCACUAGGUCGCGGUACGCUCCUUUCCGGACAGGUUUCCGCGUAGUUCGCCAUGCCACCGCUGCUGGAUAGUUCCAUGGCGUCCAUUGGGAGGAAGACUGACAAGUAGAACUGAGACUCUUGCGAGGUUUGCUCCUAGGGGUGGUAAAGCCAAGUGUAAUUCGAGCUUGGAGGACAAUGGCGCUUCCAGUGUCAUUGAGUACCCAGCUUGUGUUGGCUUGGCUGUGGAUUCCUGUGAUCUUACGAGAUGAGCUUCGAGCAGGGUGGUGAUCACGAGUAUGAUCGAGACGCAACUACGAUGCAUUAUGCGCUAGACAAUUGAGAAACAAGGCGGCAAUGAAUAUAA